CCUACGGGUGGCAGCAGUGGGGAAUAUUGCACAAUGGAGGGAACCCUGAUGCAGCGACGUCGCGUGAGUGAAGAAGUAUUUCGGUAUGUAAAGCUCUAUCAGCAGGGAAGAAAAUGACGGUACCUGACAAAGAAGCCCCGGCUAAAUACGUGCCAGCAGCCGCGGUGAUACGUAGGGAGCAAGCGUUAUCCGGAUUUACUGGGGGUAAAGGGAGCGUAGGCGGCGGAGCAAGGCCUAUGUGAAAGCCCGGGGCUCAACCAUGGGAAUGCUUUAGAAACUGUGCUGCUAGAGUGCAGGAGAGGCAAGCGGAAUUCCUAGUGUAGCGGUGAAAUGCGUAGAUAUUAGGAGGAACACCAGUGGCGAAGGCGGCCUGCUGGACUAUAACUGACGCUGAGGCUCGAAAGCGUGGGGAGCAAACAGGAUUAGAUACCCGAGUAGUC
Molecule: ribosomal RNA, 440 nt
Filed under: uncultured bacterium
Lineage: Bacteria
Description: partial 16S ribosomal RNA
Rfam family: Bacterial small subunit ribosomal RNA
Source: RNAcentral